AUAAGUUCUCCCGCUCGGUAAACGAGGUAAGACCCCAGAGAGAAGAUCUGGUUGAUAGGCCGGGUGUGUAAAGACAGCAAUGUCAAAGCUUACCGGUACUAAUAGGUCGAGGGCUUGACCUU
Molecule: ribosomal RNA, 122 nt
Filed under: Dethiobacter sp.
Lineage: Bacteria; Bacillati; Bacillota; Dethiobacteria; Dethiobacterales; Dethiobacteraceae
Description: Bacterial large subunit ribosomal RNA
Rfam family: Bacterial large subunit ribosomal RNA
Source: Rfam by way of RNAcentral